This 746-nucleotide ribosomal RNA is filed under the name Rhodotorula mucilaginosa. Its description in RNAcentral is "LSU rRNA". It matches the Rfam family "Eukaryotic large subunit ribosomal RNA", at positions 1 to 729 of the family's 3401-position model. Lineage: Eukaryota; Fungi; Basidiomycota; Microbotryomycetes; Sporidiobolales; Sporidiobolaceae. The record is from RNAcentral.
GAAGCUUCUAAUCAGAAUGUCUACAUUUUAAGAUUAGAUCUCAAAUCAGGUAGGACUACCCGCUGAACUUAAGCAUAUCAAUAAGCGGAGGAAAAGAAACUAACAAGGAUUCCCCUAGUAGCGGCGAGCGAAGCGGGAAGAGCUCAAAUUUAUAAUCUGGCACCUUCGGUGUCCGAGUUGUAAUCUCUAGAAAUGUUUUCCGCGUUGGACCGCACACAAGUCUGUUGGAAUACAGCGGCAUAGUGGUGAGACCCCCGUAUAUGGUGCGGACGCCCAGCGCUUUGUGAUACAUUUUCGAAGAGUCGAGUUGUUUGGGAAUGCAGCUCAAAUUGGGUGGUAAAUUCCAUCUAAAGCUAAAUAUUGGCGAGAGACCGAUAGCGAACAAGUACCGUGAGGGAAAGAUGAAAAGCACUUUGGAAAGAGAGUUAACAGUACGUGAAAUUGUUGGAAGGGAAACGCUUGAAGUCAGACUUGCUUGCCGAGCAAUCGGUUUGCAGGCCAGCAUCAGUUUUCCGGGAUGGAUAAUGGUAGAGAGAAGGUAGCAGUUUCGGCUGUGUUAUAGCUCUCUGCUGGAUACAUCUUGGGGGACUGAGGAACGCAGUGUGCCUUUGGCGGGGGUUUCGACCUCUUCACACUUAGGAUGCUGGUGGAAUGGCUUUAAACGACCCGUCUUGAAACACGGACCAAGGAGUCUAACAUGCUUGCGAGUAUUUGGGUGUCAAACCCGGAUGCGUAAUGAAAGUGAA